AACUUUUUUGAGUUAAGACGAGGAUAAACUUAAUGAAUCCAUACUGUGAGCGGAUAGGGAAACUGAUAAAAAAGCUGGCGAUAUUUUGUGCCUGACUCAACAUAUUUUUCACUGGAAGAAUUGAACACGCUUUGGCAACAAUAAGGUUUAAACGAUGACUGGAGUAAUGAACAUGCAACGCCUUCGGGUUUUUCUCUAAUAUUCUCCCAGAAAUACCUUUUACCUGGCUGGACACAGCACUAGCACCGUCAUAUCCCUGGCCUCGACAAUUUUGAAGGGAAGCCCGACAUCUUGAAGUGUACUUUGACUAAUGAACGGAAUCAAAUCCAAAGGCGAAACAGUUUGGUAUACAAAUGAAAAUGUUCUUGAAUCAUGUAAAACUUCAAAUUUAUUCAAGAAUGUAUUAAAUUAUCCAGAAAGUAUAAGCUUGGAGUUAUCAUUAAAAAGUGCCUUGCACCAGAUAUUUUCAAUAAUUAGCUAUCGAGACCAUCCUCAGUUGU
Molecule: long non-coding RNA, 500 nt
Filed under: Dendronephthya gigantea
Lineage: Eukaryota; Metazoa; Cnidaria; Anthozoa; Malacalcyonacea; Nephtheidae
Description: uncharacterized LOC114543980
Source: RNAcentral